This 284-nucleotide long non-coding RNA is filed under the name Mytilus galloprovincialis (Mediterranean mussel). The record is from RNAcentral. Lineage: Eukaryota; Metazoa; Mollusca; Bivalvia; Mytilida; Mytilidae.
GGCUGCACUAUUUUCAAAAAUUAAAUGAAAAAACCUAAAUCUUUAACAAUUGAUCCCUCAAAUUCCCUAGAUUAAAAAUAUCCCUAUAUCAAAAACAGAAACUAGUCAUUUCGUUCAGAAAAAUUCAACAAUCAUACUAUAACUUAUUGUACAAGUUACGGAAAAAAAAUCAACCAAGGCAGAACUGCCUCAACGGCCGAAACGUCUUGUUUACACAAAUUACAAUUUUCUAGGUCCAUACCACAAUUUAUAUACUAAGAUCUACGAGUCAUCUACUGGAUUGG